UACCAUCGAUGGGAUUCGGGUCUCCUGGGA
Molecule: non-coding RNA, 30 nt
Filed under: Mus musculus (house mouse)
Lineage: Eukaryota; Metazoa; Chordata; Mammalia; Rodentia; Muridae
Source: RNAcentral